UUUCUAGAAUAAAUAUAAAUCAAUUUUAAGUAAACAAAUUAUCACAGUAUACUUGUUUAGAAUUCUCAAGCAUUUUAUUAUCUUUUUCUUUAGAAACUUAAAUGAACACCAAUGCAUUUCUUCAUGUUAUAAUAAAUACAAAAUAUGUAGGAGAAAUACUAUGCCUGAAAACUUUUCUAAUAAUGUCCUGAAAACUCCCAGUACAAAUGUGACUUUAAUAAUCAAUGGAAACAAAUCCAUACUUAGCAUUCAGUCAUUGUGUAAAAAAAAAAUAAGUAUUUUUCCCUUUUCUUCUAGGUGAUGUUGAUUAAAGAAUACCAUGCAAUUUUUGAAGCAGAAAUUUUCACUCUGUGUUGAGUUGUUUUAAUGUCAUAAAACAAAAAUCUGCUAACUCAUUGAUCCAUAAGGUCAAACUGUGUGCUGCACUAAUUUCAAGUCUAUGGAAGUUGUAUGACCACCUCCAAUCAAGAAAGAGAACAUGCCCAGCAUCCCAGGAUCCCCCUCACUUCUUCUCCUUUCAUUCUCUCCACAUGAGCAGCCAGUAUUCUGGGUCAGGUCAUAUAGAUACCUGUGAGGACUUGCAUGGCUAGGCGAUAAAACAGGUUAGAAAUUUUAGCAUUCUAUAGGGUGUGUGCUGGUAUUCACUGUGGUUUCAAUUUGCAUGUGCUUAAAAAGAAUGGGACUGAAUCUUUUUCCACAUCACUAUCAGCCAUUUGGAUCUUCUCUCUGCAAAUAAUUUCCCAAGCCUUCUGCUCAUUUCACCAUUGGAUGCUUUCCUUCUCUUAUUUUUAAUAAUUUAUGUAUUGCAAUGUAAACACAAUGUCUUUGGUAGACCGAAUCAUCAUUUGGAUUUAAAAUUCCUAUAGAGCCCAAGCUAGACUCAGACUUGCUAUACUUCUGCCCCACACUCCUUACCC
This is a long non-coding RNA of Mastomys coucha (southern multimammate mouse), 917 nucleotides long. RefSeq lists it as uncharacterized. NCBI's taxonomy places the organism in Eukaryota, Metazoa, Chordata, Mammalia, Rodentia, Muridae. The record is from RefSeq and is a predicted model, not a curated record. The transcript has 3 exons.